CGUGUAGGCGGGGGUAGAAGUCAGGUGUGAAAUACCGCGGCUCAACUGCGGGGAUGCAUCUGAAACUCUGCUUCUUGAGUGUCGGAGAGGAAAGCGGAAUUCCCAGUGUAGCGGUGAAAUGCGUAGAGAUUGGGAGGAACACCAGUGGCGAAGGCGGCUUUCUGGACGACAACUGACGCUGAGGCGCGAAAGCGUGGGGAGCAAACA
This 207-nucleotide ribosomal RNA is filed under the name uncultured Bacillota bacterium. RNAcentral's name for it is "uncultured Firmicutes bacterium partial 16S ribosomal RNA". It matches the Rfam family "Bacterial small subunit ribosomal RNA", at positions 568 to 774 of the family's 1533-position model. Lineage: Bacteria; Bacillati; Bacillota. The record is from RNAcentral.